This is a non-coding RNA of Pelobates cultripes (western spadefoot toad), 77 nucleotides long. The record is from the annotation of a GenBank genome assembly. NCBI's taxonomy places the organism in Eukaryota, Metazoa, Chordata, Amphibia, Anura, Pelobatidae.
AAAUACACACUCUGCAUUAUAUACACACUCUGCAUUAUAUACACAGAGUGUGUGUAUAUAAUGCAGAGUGUGUGUUU